This 690-nucleotide long non-coding RNA is filed under the name Rattus norvegicus (Norway rat). RNAcentral describes it as "long non-coding RNA NONRATT011085". Lineage: Eukaryota; Metazoa; Chordata; Mammalia; Rodentia; Muridae. The record is from RNAcentral.
GGCUAUCAACCCGGAAAGCAGGUUUGUGCGUCUGGAAGGUCAUUCUUUUCCUCUAGCCAUACCCAGCACGUGCUAGAGAGUCUCCGUCUCCACUCCAUCCAGGCUCCUUGGUCAGUGGGCCUACGCUGGGUAUCUUUCCACACUGGUGUGGGCAGCUGAGCCCACCACAGUCAGGGGUGCCUGGAGUUGUCUCUGACACUCAGAGAGAGGCUGCCAGGCAGGAGUGCUGGAUGUAUAUAUUUCCCUACUCAUUCAUUCAUUCAUUCAUUCAUUCAUUCACUCAUUCAUCGUAAUGCGGAUCUCACUAAUCUGCACAGAGUGUCUUUGAACUCACUGUACUCUAGGUGUGAGGACUGCAGUCAUGAGCUACUGUGCUUGCUUCCUUCGUUCUCAUAUUUGAUAUCUUACAAAUUAAAAAUGUUAGAGCUGGAGGGAAGUUAUUCAGUGUCUUUAAUGGAGAGAUUUGUAAAUUUGUUAAAAACAAAAACGCUGGCCCGGGUAUGUUGGUACACUUUUAAUUCCAGCCCUCAGAAGGCAGAGCCAGGCCGAUCUCUGAGUUCAAGAUCAGCUUGGUCUACAAAGAGAGUUCCAGGACAGCCAUGCUACACAGAAAAUCCUGUCUUGAAAAACAAACACCAAACCAAACCAAACCAAACCAAAAUAAAACAAAAAAUAAACAAGAAAGAAUAC